UACGUAGGGGGCAAGCGUUGUCCGGAUUUAUUGGGCGUAAAGAGCGUGUAGGCGGCUUGACAAGUCUGAUGUGAAAACUCGAGGCUCAACCUCGAGAUGUCGGCGGAAACUGUCUGGCUAGAGUCCGGAAGAGGAGAGUGGAAUUCCUGGUGUAGCGGUGAAAUGCGCAGAUAUCAGGAAGAACACCUAUGGCGAAGGCAGCUCUCUGGGACGGUACUGACGCUGAGACGCGAAAGCGUGGGGAGCGAACAGG
RNAcentral lists this ribosomal RNA (253 nucleotides) under uncultured bacterium. Its description in RNAcentral is "partial 16S ribosomal RNA". It matches the Rfam family "Bacterial small subunit ribosomal RNA", at positions 524 to 776 of the family's 1533-position model. The record is from RNAcentral.